This 464-nucleotide ribosomal RNA is filed under the name uncultured bacterium. RNAcentral describes it as "bacterial SSU rRNA". It matches the Rfam family "Bacterial small subunit ribosomal RNA", at positions 339 to 796 of the family's 1533-position model. The record is from RNAcentral.
CUACGGGAGGCAGCAGUGGGGAAUCUUGCGCAAUGGGCGAAAGCCUGACGCAGCGAUGCCGCGUGCGGGAUGAAGGCCUUAGGGUUGUAAACCUCUUUCAGAUGGGACGAAGGUUGUCCGGUGAAUAGCCGUGAUGAUUGACGGUACCGUCAGAAGAAGCUCCGGCUAACUACGUGCAGCAGCCGCGGUAAUACGUAGGGAGCGAGCGUUGUCCGGAAUCAUUGGGCGUAAAGAGCGCGUAGGUGGAUCAAUUAGUCUGCUGUGAAAGUCGAAGGCUCAACCUUCGAAAGCCGGUGGAUACUGUUGAUCUAGAGUACGGAAGAGGCGAGUGGAAUUCCUGGUGUAGCGGUGGAAUGCGCAGAUAUCAGGAGGAACACCAAUAGCGAAGGCAGCUCGCUGGGACGUAACUGACACUGAGGCGCGAAAGCGUGGGUAGCAAACAGGAUUAGAUACCCGUGUAGUCC